Molecule: ribosomal RNA, 2234 nt
Filed under: Campylobacter coli
Lineage: Bacteria; Pseudomonadati; Campylobacterota; Epsilonproteobacteria; Campylobacterales; Campylobacteraceae
Description: partial 23S ribosomal RNA
Rfam family: Bacterial large subunit ribosomal RNA
Source: RNAcentral
AAAAAAGGUAAGCUACUAAGAGCGAAUGGUGGAUGCCUUGACUGGUAAAGGCGAUGAAGGACGUACUAGACUGCGAUAAGCUACGGGGAGCUGUCAAGAAGCUUUGAUCCGUAGAUUUCCGAAUGGGGCAACCCAAUGUAUAGAGAUAUACAUUACCUAUAUAGGAGCGAACGAGGGGAAUUGAAACAUCUUAGUACCCUCAGGAAAAGAAAUCAAUAGAGAUUGCGUCAGUAGCGGCGAGCGAAAGCGCAAGAGGGCAAACCCAGUGCUUGCACUGGGGGUUGUAGGACUGCAAUGUGCAAGAGGUGAGUUUAGCAGAACAUUCUGGAAAGUAUAGCCAUAGAGGGUGAUAGUCCCGUAUGCGAAAAACAAACCUUAGCUAGCAGUAUCCUGAGUAGGGCGGGACACGAGAAAUCCUGUCUGAAGCUGGGUCGACCACGAUCCAACCCUAAAUACUAAUACCAGAUCGAUAGUGCACAAGUACCGUGAGGGAAAGGUGAAAAGAACUGAGGUGAUCAGAGUGAAAUAGAACCUGAAACCAUUUGCUUACAAUCAUUCAGAGCCCUAUGUAGCAAUACAGGGUGAUGGACUGCCUUUUGCAUAAUGAGCCUGCGAGUUGUGGUGUCUGGCAAGGUUAAGCAAACGCGAAGCCGUAGCGAAAGCGAGUCUGAAUAGGGCGCUUAGUCAGAUGCUGCAGACCCGAAACGAAGUGAUCUAUCCAUGAGCAAGUUGAAGCUAGUGUAAGAACUAGUGGAGGACUGAACCCAUAGGCGUUGAAAAGCCCCGGGAUGACUUGUGGAUAGGGGUGAAAGGCCAAUCAAACUUCGUGAUAGCUGGUUCUCUCCGAAAUAUAUUUAGGUAUAGCGUUGUGUCGUAAUAUAAGGGGGUAGAGCACUGAAUGGGCUAGGGCAUACACCAAUGUACCAAACCCUAUCAAACUCCGAAUACCUUAUAUGUAAUCACAGCAGUCAGGCGGCGAGUGAUAAAAUCCGUCGUCAAGAGGGAAACAACCCAGACUACCAGCUAAGGUCCCUAAAUCUUACUUAAGUGGAAAACGAUGUGAAGUUACUUAAACAACCAGGAGGUUGGCUUAGAAGCAGCCAUCCUUUAAAGAAAGCGUAAUAGCUCACUGGUCUAGUGAUUUUGCGCGGAAAAUAUAACGGGGCUAAAGUAAGUACCGAAGCUGUAGACUUGCGCACAACUUAGAUUAUUUAAGUUUAGAAUAUGAGAAACUAAGUUAUAUGUUUAGUUAUAUUUUUACUGAUUUUUAUAGAGUAAAGAUAGAAAUAAAACUUAGUAAAAUCAGUAAAAAUAUUCUUAGACUAAAGUUAAGUAGUUUAAGUUGUGUGCAAGUGGUAGGAGAGCGUUCUAUUUGCGUCGAAGGUAUACCGGUAAGGAGUGCUGGAGCGAAUAGAAGUGAGCAUGCAGGCAUGAGUAGCGAUAAUUAAUGUGAGAAUCAUUAACGCCGUAAACCCAAGGUUUCCUACGCGAUGCUCGUCAUCGUAGGGUUAGUCGGGUCCUAAGUCGAGUCCGAAAGGGGUAGACGAUGGCAAAUUGGUUAAUAUUCCAAUACCAACAUUAGUGUGCGAUGGAAGGACGCUUAGGGCUAAGGGGGCUAGCGGAUGGAAGUGCUAGUCUAAGGUCGUAGGAGGUUAUACAGGCAAAUCCGUAUAACAAUACUCCGAGAACUGAAAGGCUUUUUGAAGUCUUCGGAUGGAUAGAAGAACCCCUGAUGCCGUCGAGCCAAGAAAAGUUUCUAAGUUUAGCUAAUGUUGCCCGUACCGUAAACCGACACAGGUGGGUGGGAUGAGUAUUCUAAGGCGCGUGGAAGAACUCUCUUUAAGGAACUCUGCAAAAUAGCACCGUAUCUUCGGUAUAAGGUGUGGUUCGCUUCGUAUUAGGAUUUACUCCGAAAGCGAAGAAACUUACAACAAAGAGUCCCUCCCGACUGUUUACCAAAAACACAGCACUCUGCUAACUCGUAAGAGGAUGUAUAGGGUGUGACGCCUGCCCGGUGCUCGAAGGUUAAUUGAUGGGGUUAGCAUUAGCGAAGCUCUUGAUCGAAGCCCGAGUAAACGGCGGCCGUAACUAUAACGGUCCUAAGGUAGCGAAAUUCCUUGUCGGUUAAAUACCGACCUGCAUGAAUGGCGUAACGAGAUGGGAGCUGUCUCAAAGAGGGAUCCAGUGAAAUUGUAGUGGAGGUGAAAAUUCCUCCUACCCGCGGCAAGACGGAG